This 492-nucleotide ribosomal RNA is filed under the name uncultured bacterium. RNAcentral's name for it is "partial 16S ribosomal RNA". It matches the Rfam family "Bacterial small subunit ribosomal RNA", at positions 29 to 507 of the family's 1533-position model. The record is from RNAcentral.
AGUGAACGCUGGCGGUAGGCCUAACACAUGCAAGUCGAACGGCAGCACAGUAAGAGCUUGCUCUUACGGGUGGCGAGUGGCGGACGGGUGAGGAAUACAUCGGAAUCUACUUUUUCGUGGGGGAUAACGUAGGGAAACUUACGCUAAUACCGCAUACGACCUACGGGUGAAAGCAGGGGAUCUUCGGACCUUGCGCGAUUGAAUGAGCCGAUGUCGGAUUAGCUAGUUGGCGGGGUAAAGGCCCACCAAGGCGACGAUCCGUAGCUGGUCUGAGAGGAUGAUCAGCCACACUGGAACUGAGACACGGUCCAUGCUCCUACGGGAGGCAGCAGUGGGGAAUAUUGGACAAUGGGCGCAAGCCUGGUCCAGCCGUACCGCGUGGGUGAAGAAGGCCUUCGGGUUGUAAAGCCCUUUUGCUGGGAAAGAAAAGCAGCAGGUUAAUACCCCGCUGUUCUGACGGUACCCAAAGAAUAAGCACCGGCUAACUUCGUG